CCUGAACGAGCAAUGCCGCGGGAGUGAAGAAGGUCUUCGGAUCGUAAAGCUCUGUUGUAAGAGAAAAAGGGCGCAUAUAGGAAAUGAUAUGCGAUUGAUGGUAUCUUACCAGAAAGCCACGGCUAACUACGUGCCAGCAGCCGCGGUAAUACGUAGNUGCCAGCGUUAUCCGGAAUGAUUGGGCGUAAAGGGUGCGUAGGUGGCGCGAUAAGUCUGGAGUAAAAGGGAGCGGCUCAACCGCUGUUGGCUCUGGAAACUGUCGAGCUAGAGUGCAGGAGAGGGCGAUGGAAUUCCAUGUGUAGCGGUAAAAUGCGUAGAUAUAUGGAGGAACACCGGUGGCGAAGGCGGUCGCCUGGCCUGCAACUGACACUGAAGCACGAAAGCGUGGGGAGCAAAUAGGAUUAGAUACCCUAGUAGUCCACGCCGUAAACGAUGAGGACUAAGUGUUGGGGGAACUCAGUGCUGCAGUUAACGCAAUAAGUCCUCCGCCUGGGGAGUAUGCACGCAAGUGUGAAACUCAAAGGAAUUGACGGGGGCCCGCACAAGCGGUGGAGUAUGUGGUUUAAUUCGAAGCAACGCGAAGAACCUUACCAGGUCUUGACAUCCCUUGCGAAGGUGCAGAGAUGUAUCAGAGGUUAUCAAGGAGACAGGUGGUGCAUGGUUGUCGUCAGCUCGUGUCGUAGAUGU
This 687-nucleotide ribosomal RNA is filed under the name uncultured bacterium. Its description in RNAcentral is "bacterial SSU rRNA". It matches the Rfam family "Bacterial small subunit ribosomal RNA", at positions 382 to 1075 of the family's 1533-position model. The record is from RNAcentral.